This 666-nucleotide long non-coding RNA is filed under the name Triticum aestivum (bread wheat). Its description in RNAcentral is "long non-coding RNA (TAES_LNC015969)". The record is from RNAcentral. Lineage: Eukaryota; Viridiplantae; Streptophyta; Magnoliopsida; Poales; Poaceae.
AGGGAAGAAGAUGUGCCGCUUGGAAUCUGUUCCGUCCAUCCUCUACAGGUCAGUUUCUCUACCCCUUCUGUACAUCCCCUAUUUUUGAUGGAUUCACUUACUUGAUCUGAUCUCUAUUUUGGGGGAAGAGGAGAUCAGAGGAUGAGCACCAGAUGAUCCGACUACAGAAACUGAGAGAAAUCAGAGACUUGACAGCCGUGAUUUAUUGCUUCUUAUAUCACGCAGGCAUUAGGGCUCUCCCAAUCUCAUCCUAGAGGAAUAGGACACCUUGCAUGACCGUGAGCACCGCUGCUCAUCGCAGCUUGUCAGAUUAGGCUGGUUCAAGCAGUGUCUUAGGCAUGCUACUAUCCAAGGCGGUCUUCGCGCUUCCACCCUACAUCCACGCUAUCCACCAUGUCUCUCCCUAGAUGUGUGGGGAGGAGCAAGCAGGAGGGAAGGAGGAGCACGCAUGACUCCUCUGUCCUGUAUGUAUUUUCAUUUAUGAUAUAUCCAAAACAAAUUACUAUAGAUUAGUUCCCACAGCUAUUUAUUAGAUUGGUGCUUAUAUGAAAAAGAUUGAAACACCUCGUUUUAACUUGAUUGGUUCUCAAAGCCUUUCAUAUAGAUUGAAACAAUGUGUCAGAUGGAAGGAUAAUCUAAUGUUGUGCUAUCAUGUUUCGAAUUGUA